This 497-nucleotide ribosomal RNA is filed under the name uncultured bacterium. Its description in RNAcentral is "bacterial SSU rRNA". It matches the Rfam family "Bacterial small subunit ribosomal RNA", at positions 903 to 1397 of the family's 1533-position model. The record is from RNAcentral.
AAAGGAAUUGACGGGGGCCCGCACAAGCGGUGGAGUAUGUGGUUUAAUUCGAUGCAACGCGAAGAACCUUACCAGGGCUUGACAUCCCGGGAACCCUGCGGAAACGUGGGGGUGCCUUUCGGGGAGCCCGGAGACAGGUGGUGCAUGGCUGUCGUCAGCUCGUGUCGUGAGAUGUUGGAUUAAGUUCCGCAACGAGCGCAACCCUCGUCGUAUGUUGCCAGCGGUUCGGCCGGGCACUCAUACGAGACUGCUGCAGCAAUGUGGAGGAAGGUGGGGAUGACGUCAAGUCAGCAUGCCCCGUACGCCCUGGGCUACACACAUACUACAAUGCGAGGAGCAAACGGUCGCCAACCCGUGAGGGGGAGCUAAUCCGAGAAGCCCUCGCUCAGUGCAGAUCGCAGGCUGCAACUCGCCUGCGUGAAGGCGGAAUCGCUAGUAACCGUCGGUCAGCAGGUACGACGGUGAAUACGUUCCCGGGCCUUGUACACACCGCCCGU